GACGAACGCUGGCGGCGUGCUUAACACAUGCAAGCCGAACGAUGAAGCCGGAGCUUGCUCUGGUGAAUUAGUGGCGAACGGGUGAGUAACACGUGAGUAACCUGCCCUUGACUCUGGGAUAACUGCUAGAAAUGGUAGCUAAUACCGGAUACGACCCUCGGAGGCAUCUUCAGGGGGUGGAAAGAAUUUCGGUCAAGGAUGGACUCGCGACCUAUCAGCUAGUUGGUGAGGUAAUGGCUCACCAAGGCGACGACGGGUAGCCGGCCUGAGAGGGUGACCCGCCACAAGGGGACUGAGACACGGCCCAUACUCCUACGGGAGGCAGCAGUGGGGAAUAUUGCACAAUGGGCGCAAGCCUGAUGCAGCAACGCCGCGUGAGGGAUGACGGCCUUCGGGUUGUAAACCUCUUUUAGUAGGGAAGAAGCGAAAGUGACGGUACCUGCAGAAAAAGCACCGGCUAACUACGUGCCAGCAGCCGCCGUAA
This 484-nucleotide ribosomal RNA is filed under the name uncultured bacterium. Its description in RNAcentral is "partial 16S ribosomal RNA". It matches the Rfam family "Bacterial small subunit ribosomal RNA", at positions 28 to 523 of the family's 1533-position model. The record is from RNAcentral.